UCCAAUUUUUUAGACAUGGAGAAAAAUGCUUAACAGAGCCUUGCCCAAAAUAAGUCUUUAAGAAAUACUUAUUGAAAUAAAUAAAAGGGUCUGAGAGUUCAAAUUGCACUUGGGUAAAAAACUAGGAAAUUAUAAUCCAUUAGCCAGACUAAUCAGAUUUUAGUUAGGCAAUGAUAAAAUGCAGUUACUCAUCAGAUCGUCUGAUGACUAAAGAACACUAUACCAGAAUCUGAAUCCACUUUUCUUUCACAGCAAAACUACAACCACUUAAGUUGAAAGCGCAGACUCCAGUUUUGGUUUUCACUGUCAAUAGGCAUGAGGCAGAGGUUUUAAAAAACAAGUAACACUCACGGAGACCUAUCCCACUAAAAAUGGUGCACCUCUUUCUGGUCUGAUUCAGUGGUCCUUUUACACAACUGUGAUUUCUGAGGGUUUUUGGAGGUCUGUGUGCUAGUGUUGAAAUUCUCUUUCAUUCACUUUGGACUUGUAGGUUCACCCUAGAACAGGCUACACAGGUACUAGCUAACUGAAAGGCUGCAGUGCUAGGUACAGAGAACACAAUGAUGAAUCAGCCAGGAUCCCCACUUCAUGAUGCCCCUGGUCAUGACACAAGGGGCCAAAAAACAGGCAGGUAAAGGUGCUGAGGGAGCAGAAGACAAAAUUCUGUGCUGCUUAAGGGAGAUAAGAAUGUCAUCUGAGAUGAAAGAUAUUUGAGCACAAGUUUGAAGGAGGAAUAGGAAUUUUCCAAGUGAACACAUGGGGUAAGGGAUAAAGAAAGCACUCCAGAAGAAAGAGAAUUGUAUGUAUUCUCAGGAGACAGUUUCUUUGUAAACUUCAGGAGAAAGGAAUAUGCUCCUGGUAUGGGAAGAAACUCUGUAUAAUGACACAGAACAGAUGUUUAUACACAGGGCAGGGACAGAUCAUGAAAGGAUAUGCAUUUCGCACCAACAGUACUGGAUUUUAUCCUGUAAGCAGCUAAGAGCCCCCAAUGUCACCAAGUAAGACAACUACAUGGUCAGAUCUGUGGCAGACAGACUGAAUGAGAGUAAGACUAGGGAUCAGGAAGCUACUUCAGAAACUCUUUGCAGGAGUCCAUCUGAGAGACAGUAAGGCCUGAACCACUGCAGUUGUAGUGGUGAGGGAGAGGGCAGGACAGAUUAGUGAGGUAGAACCAAAGUGAUCUGGUGAUCAACUGGGUUGAGAGUGGAGAAGAGGAAGAAAGGGAAGAUGAAUAUUGGAUAGACUAUAAACAGUUUCUGAUGCAGAUAUCCUGUCUUGCUUUUAGAAGCUUCAUUUUUCCAACAAUAAACAUGAGGAAAUAGAAACACCCAUAGGUGAUAACUGGAUUCUGUUUGAAGGCAGAAAGGCUUUGAGUAGCCAAAGAGAGCUAGGAAAUAAAGAAGGACCUUUACUUAUUAUUUUUUGAAUCUACAAUAAGUAUGGUGCUGGUAGGAAUUUUACAUAUAUUAUCCCAUUAAUUUUUACCAGUGAGGUAGGCUAUCUUAUCUACAUCCUUUAUAGAAGAUGCUGCCAAGUCUCAGGAACAUCAGUUUCCCAAGGUCAUAUAACCAAUAACAGUACCAGACUGACCACAAAACCUUUGCUUUGCUUUUCUGAAAAAUCUGUACCCCGACUUUGCAAAGUGUAGCAAAGUGCCAAGUGAAAAAUAUUUCCCAGGUUCCUGUGCCAUUAGGGGUAGCCUAGUAUAUGAAACAUUAGGGCCCAGAACUCUGUUAAGAGAUUAUUUGUAAAGUUUCUAGACAUAGGUAGUUUUAUUCUCUCUCAGCUAUCUCCAUUUUUGCAACUUCCUGGAAAAUAGGUAUGAUGGCUGGAGUUGCAACAGCUAUAUUGCAGAUGCGAGGAAAAGAUCAAGACUCAUAAAACAUUAGCCUUGACAUACUUGACUUCCUGAAAUAAUACUUCUGUCACCUUCCACCAGACUUCUCAUCACAUGCAAAAAAUAAAGCUCUAAAUUUAAGCCACUGUCUUUCAGGUUUAAGUCUCAUCUGAGCCAAUUCCUGAUUUAAUCUCUUCAACUUGACUUUGGCAUGAGUAUCAAGGUGUCAACCACAAUUUCCUUCCAAUUUAAAAAGAAACCCUUAAUGAGUGUCAAGUAUGUCAGAUACUGUGUAUAUAGACAUGAAAAUAAAUUUUACAUAUUGACUCAUUUAAUUCUUACAGUAACCCUGCAGGGUAAGGAGUGUCAUUCUCAUUUUAGAGCAAAGGACAUAAAUAAGAAGCUAAGUACUUUAUCAAACAUACCAUAGUGAUACAUGGCGAGCAUAGUGGUCUGUCUGAUGAUAACGUUCACAUUCUAGCAGCUCUCCAUGCUACUGCAGUUCUAUGAACUCACUGCUGUGAAGAACCAUCACUCCCAAGACAAUGUCUCUCUAAAUUAAGUAGUACUUCUCCUAGCUCUUCCAUACUGAUAUCAAAAAUUCAACUGGGAAACCGUCUAAAAAGUAUAUCUAGGACAUGAAAAAAACAGUGUAUACGGCAGGAAACCAUGAAGUGGCUGAUGUGGCAAGUAGAAAGAACUGCAGAUGCCUUAGGUACGCUCUGCCUGAAAGCAGCUGGAUGGAGCUGAUGAUCUGGAAAGGAGACUCCUUUCAACAAUGACCUGAAGAAAUCAUGUUUAACUGGAAAUCAGCAUGUGCCUGAGGCAUGGGAGAGAGAGAUUAAGAAAGGUGUCCAAUGUCACGCACGUUUUCACAGUAAAACAACUCAUGAUUUUAUCGCGUAUAAUUUUUGAAAAGUGAGAGAGAAUUAAAGUUGGGAAUUACGUAUAUCUCUUAUAACCUAUUUAAAAAGCACACUUUAAAUGUAGGCUUGUUUUAUUAUAUAAAUAUACAUAUAUAUGCAUAUUUUAACCCUUCCUUCUACACCAUGAACCCAAAGCAGCCAACAAGAAGAUUCACAAUAAAUUUAAAAAUCCUAACCAGGAAAAAUACAAAACAGGAGCAUGAGAUAAGGGGAAAAUAAGGUAGGCAGAUAUGGAUCCUAGAGAAUCCUAAAAUGAGCUGUAAAUUUAGGUCUGAGCUUCCCCCUACCAAGGGAAAAUGGAAAAAAAAAAAAAAGACUAGGUACAAAAGUCACAGUGGUCAUGAGAAAAAGAAAGUAUUACUGCCUCAGGUGAAACAAUAUUUUCUGUUAGCAGGAAAACAAUAAGAAAUCAGAAGACCUAAAAGGGACUUCCCUCAGGGCAACUAGGUAAGGAGUGGACAAUGUGUUGGUAUUUCCUCCAUAAUAACUGUCAUGGUCUCCUUCACACAACAGUUUCUUACAAUUAUUCAGUCAGGCUGAAAACCAGUUCAGGGAAGGCAGUGUGGGAAGGGCUGGGCCAUCGAGAUAGGAGCAUCAGCUCUCUGAUGAGCAAGCUUGCUCUAGUAAUAAGUCCCAGAAUAUCUGCAUGAACAAAGAAACAGCAUGUUCUUCAAAUUAUUCUCCAACCGACUUAAGAAGUAGGAUUAUGCAACAGUUUACUGACUCUUUUCAGUUCAGAAGUUCUGAGAAAGUUUUCAGGGGCUUUUUAUUAUUAUGUAAAUGGUACUUCAGUCCACUGGCACUGUGCUCCUAGGUGUAGUACUUAUAUGCCAAUUUUUUCUCUUUCUCCAAGAGGCAUAAAAAGGCAGAGAAAACGUGGGUUGCUAUUACUUAAAAAAAAAAAAAAAAAAUUAUGGCUUUUAGCUUUUACGUGAGGAGGUUCUAGUACAUACACUUUCUAUUAUAUACCUGGUGUUAGAGAAAAUUUAUGAAUUCACACUGGGAAUGAUUUUUUAACUAAUUUAAAAUGUGAUCUGCGACAUUAAACAGUCCUUGAAUGGGUAGAAAUUAACGUCAAUUAUUAACAGGUUAGGAAUGAACGCAGGAGUUUGAGAAAGAAAACAAAAGGAAAGAAAAGGAAAGAAAGAAAGAAAGAGGAAAGAAAGGGAAAGGAAAGGAAAAGAAAAGAAAAGAGAAAAGGAAAACUGACGCAGUAAGAAAUGGGGCCUGUUAGUUUGGGAAAGAAAUGUAAAAUCUAUGUAAAUUUAGCUGAGUUUAACUGAGGUGUAAUUUUUUUCUAUAUAUUUGUGUUGGUGCACUCUCAUAAGCAUAUUCACAAGAAUCCUCAGUAAGGUACAAAGUGGAAAUACUCAGAAAAUGCCAAUUAGGCCAAGUACAUACCUGCAUGCCAGUUUUUCCAGUGUAUGAAGAGUCAGAUGAAAUUUAUCCUUCCAAAAAGAAUCUCUAGUUGGAUGAAGACAACAUAAAUACGGUUGUGCUUUAAUUUAAACUCUCUACAGAGUCACAAGAAGUUACGACUGUAACCUGAACCAAAGAGGGAAAAAUAAGGACCAUUUGCUACUAAUUAAAAAACAGGGGAUUAGAAAAAAAGAUGGCUGUGGGAAAUAGGGAACAGUUGUUCUCCCAACAUGGACCUCUCACCCUGCUGAUUUUGUGGUUUUCUAAACUACAAAAGUGAAAACUGGGAAAAUGACAACGAAAUUACUACCAACAGAUAAACGGAAUAUUCUCUAUGGUUUUUAAAAUAAUAGUUUAUAAAUUAGAGACAGAAAACUAGAUUUGCUAAGCAAAAAGCUAAUAUUUCCACAUUUUAGUUUCUUCUUCUAAGCAUAUACAAUAAAACACACAUAGUGGACCUCAUGUAGCUCCCUACAAUGCAAUUACAGUUCCAGUUCUUUGAUACUAAUUGCAAUCAAUUGCCAUGAAUCAACAGAUGAGGAGGCGGUUAAAGUUACAUAACUUUUAACAAACUAAGAUUGCUAAAGUUAAAUAAGUAUCAAUGUGGUCACUUUAAAGUACCUAGCUUCAUCAAGCAGAGCUACAAAAGCAGCAGGUUAGUGGGUUUCUGGCAAGGAAUAAUUGGUGCUGAGCAACAGACUGUAUAUGAGCAGAAACAUUGCGUAAAACUCACAUUACUGGCUCACCCACACCAUAUGUGCAUUUUGGAUGGAAACAGGGGCAGCUCUCAUACAGCCUUGCAUAGUUUGGCCUUUUCUGGCUAGGAUGAAUGAACAUUAUGUUUCAGUGUACUAGUUCACCCCAGUGGAAGCCAGAAAAUACCAGAAUUAUGACCUCUCAAUUCCAAUUUUUUCCAGCAAAAUUGAAGCUAGGACAAAGGUGGAGUGGUAAUGAAAAGAUACAAAUGUGAAGUUAUGGGAAAGAUCUUUACAAACUCUGAUAAACAUGCCUCAAGUGGAUUCAUCUUGCCAAUUUUGAGCCAUCAGCAACCCAUGCCAAUUUGUCAAAUAUAAAGGAUAAAAAGGUACAUUGUUAUAUAAGAAGAUGAGAAAAGGGCUGUCAUGAGCCUGUCAUCAUGAUCGCAUUCUGCUGGUGAACUGGGAGAGGAGAGAAGUGGAGAAGAGUAAGCAGCAAGGUAUAAGGGAAGGUUGAAAGGAGAAAAUCUUCAGUGAUGGGAGAGGAACCCGAAGGCCUAUAUGGAUCCCCCAGAGAUUUGUUUUGGGAAGGGGGUUGGAGGCAGGAAGUGGGUGAGGGGGCUCCUUCACUCCUUAGGCCUUCUUCAAUGGGGAGCAAAGUCUAGGAACAUUCACCCCAGGCCUCCCUCCACUCUCCAGUCACUGGGUUGGUGAUUGGGGAGCACUCAGCUGCAGGUGGUUCUCCCUCCUCCCCCUCUCCUCCCCCUUCUCUUCUCUAAUGCCCCACAGGGGCCCCCUCCCACCUGAGCAAGCCUGGCCCAGCCCAGCAGAUCCUAUAACUGUAUGGGUUCAGAUUAAGAAACUCAUUUGCUCCUUGAUAGAAGCCACAUUCUUCAACACCAGCUUUUUGGGCAAUAAAGAUGAGAAUUUGGUCUCCA
Long non-coding RNA from Phacochoerus africanus (Common warthog), 5815 nucleotides. RefSeq lists it as uncharacterized. The record is from RefSeq and is a predicted model, not a curated record. Lineage: Eukaryota; Metazoa; Chordata; Mammalia; Artiodactyla; Suidae. The transcript has 2 exons.